UUGUGUAGUUUCACAAAACUAUACACCCGCGAAAUGAUAUGGCUGUUACACCUAAGACGAGGACAUGGCAUCCUAUUACCAGCCAUCGCACGAAAUUAAUAUGAUGCCACGUCCUCAUCUUAGAUGGAACAACCACGUCAUCUCACAGGUGAAUCCAUUCAUCGAUAGUGUGGUU
Molecule: microRNA precursor, 175 nt
Filed under: Oryza barthii
Lineage: Eukaryota; Viridiplantae; Streptophyta; Magnoliopsida; Poales; Poaceae
Description: MIR807 microRNA precursor family
Rfam family: MIR807 microRNA precursor family
Source: Rfam by way of RNAcentral